Molecule: ribosomal RNA, 29 nt
Filed under: Streptococcus pneumoniae GA16531
Lineage: Bacteria; Bacillati; Bacillota; Bacilli; Lactobacillales; Streptococcaceae
Source: RNAcentral
AAAAAGUUUAAAAAAGUAGUUGACAAAGU